Molecule: non-coding RNA, 82 nt
Filed under: unclassified sequences
Source: RNAcentral
CUGGCUCGACGCUUGUUGCCUUUUCGUGGCGAACCAGAUAAGUAACUUCGGACUUACCACCCCGAGUGAAACUAAAAACAAG